RNAcentral lists this transfer RNA (70 nucleotides) under Marmota monax (woodchuck). RNAcentral's name for it is "tRNA.Ala". Lineage: Eukaryota; Metazoa; Chordata; Mammalia; Rodentia; Sciuridae. The record is from RNAcentral.
GGGGAUAUAGCUCAGUGGCAGAGUACUUUCUUAGCAUGAGGAGGCACUGGGUUCUAUCCCCAGUUCUACA